ACGCUGGCGGCGUGCCUAAUACACGCAAGUCGAACGCUGGAAAUCUAGCUUGCUAGAUUGAAGGAGUGGCGAACGGGUGAGUAAUACAUAAGCAACCUACCCACGAAGACUGGGAUAAUCUCUGGAAACGGGGACUAAUACCGGAUAGGUAAUCGGAAGGCAUCUUCUGAUUACUAAAGGUUAAAAACACUGGUGGAUGGGCUUAUGGCGCAUUAGUUAGUUGGUGAGGUAACGGCCCACCAAGACGAUGAUGCGUAGCCGGCCUGAGAGGGUGAACGGCCACACUGGGACUGAGACACGGCCCAGACUCCUACGGGAGGCAGCAGUAGGGAAUUUUCGGCAAUGGGGGAAACCCUGACCGAGCAACGCCGCGUGAGUGAUGACGGCCUUCGGGUUGUAAAGCUCUGUUGUAAGGGAAGAACGGUAGAUAGAGAAUAUCUAAAUGACGGUACCUUACCAGAAAGCCACGGCUAACUACGUGCCAGCAGCCGCGGUAAUACGUAGGUGGCGAGCGUUAUCCGGAAUUAUUGGGCGUAAAGGGUGCGUAGGCGGCCUGUUAAGUAAGUGGUUAAAUUGUUGGGCUCAACCCAAUCCAGCCACUUAAACUGGCAGGCUAGAGUAUUGGAGAGGCAAGUGGAAUUCCAUGUGUAGCGGUAAAAUGCGUAGAUAUAUGGAGGAACACCAGUGGCGAAGGCGGCUUGCUAGCCAAAGACUGACGCUCAUGCACGAAAGCGUGGGGAGCAAAUAGGAUUAGAUACCCUAGUAGUCCACGCCGUAACCGAUGAAUACUAAGUAUUGGGGAAACUCAGUGCUGCACUAACGCAAUAAGUAUUCCGCCUGUGGAGUAUGCACGCAAGUGUGAAACAUAAAGGAAUUGACGGGGGCCCGCACAAGCGGUGGAGUAUGUGGUU
This 911-nucleotide ribosomal RNA is filed under the name uncultured bacterium. Its description in RNAcentral is "bacterial SSU rRNA". It matches the Rfam family "Bacterial small subunit ribosomal RNA", at positions 33 to 946 of the family's 1533-position model. The record is from RNAcentral.